RNAcentral lists this ribosomal RNA (423 nucleotides) under Triticum aestivum (bread wheat). RNAcentral describes it as "partial small subunit ribosomal RNA". The record is from RNAcentral. Lineage: Eukaryota; Viridiplantae; Streptophyta; Magnoliopsida; Poales; Poaceae.
AUGAUUUUCAUCUUUUUUUUCCUUUGUCAUUUUGCUAGAGCUGUCUGGUUUGCUCAUCCUUGGUAUAUUAGAUCUGAUGCUCUCGUUCAUAAUCAGGACUCUUUGCUUACCACCAUUACUUCUUUAAUGGGUUCACAUCAUUCUCAUGCUUCGUUCCAGAAUAUUUUCAAUUUUUUAUGGACUUUAUGGAAAGCUAGGAAUGAUUGUCUUUUCGAGCGCAGGAAAGGGCAUCCUAAUAGGAUCCACAUUAUGGCUGCUAGUAUGGAUUGUGCAAUGCAGGCUGAGGCACUUUUGUCAUCUGAUGACCAACAUAAUGUUACUAACAAUCUUCAUAAUGAACAGCAAAUUCCUAUACAGGGCAAAUCCAUCCAAUCUGAUCUCAUUAUUAAGGGGCCGAAGAUUUAUUCCGAUGCGGCUUUUUGA